This 596-nucleotide long non-coding RNA is filed under the name Homo sapiens (human). RNAcentral's name for it is "HSALNT0074182". The record is from RNAcentral. Lineage: Eukaryota; Metazoa; Chordata; Mammalia; Primates; Hominidae.
UUCCCUUGGCAGGAUAUACUCCUUCCCCCGCUGCCCCCAUGUGACAAGUGUAUUCUUACUCGUCCCUCAGAAUGCCAUCCAUCUUAGACCUCCUGGGCCACCAUAAAAGAAUACCACAGACUGAUCUGCUUAAAUAACAUUUUUUUUUUUUUUCUCACAGUGCUGGAUGCAGAAAGUCCAAGAUCAAGAUGCCAGUGGGAUUGGUUUCUGGGCUACUUGAAGGGGCACCAAAAAAUCAUGAGCCCAGGACAGGACAGAGGUGGAACUUAUUCUCCAGGUGCUCUACUUUGAAGUCAAGGACAUCUUACCAUCAUCCUGGAGAGCUGGAUCCUCCCAGAGUGAGUAAAAUCCUAGAGAGGCAAGGGUGAAGUCAAAUGAAGAAGAAAAGAGGAACGAGGCAGGUAAGGAGAGAACAUAUUCACAAGGUGGCGCGUUACAGAAGUAAGCACAGUGUUGCAAUACAACAAAGCCAGUUGUUCAGUCAUGUGAGGGAAAACUGAUCUGUCAUAAAUCACUGAGUCAGGACAAGAUAGAUGAGCAAUUUUUCUGUGGCUCCUUCUACACUCCUGUCUUCCAUCGGUCAAGUCACUUACUCC